This 709-nucleotide ribosomal RNA is filed under the name uncultured spirochete. Its description in RNAcentral is "bacterial SSU rRNA". It matches the Rfam family "Bacterial small subunit ribosomal RNA", at positions 59 to 758 of the family's 1533-position model. Lineage: Bacteria; Pseudomonadati; Spirochaetota; Spirochaetia; Spirochaetales. The record is from RNAcentral.
AAGUCGAGCGGCAGGGUGCAGCAAUGCAUUUGAGAGCGGCGGACUGGUGAGUAACGCGUGGGUGACCUGCCCCAAGGCUGGGGAUAGCCGUUAGAAAUAGCGGGUAAUACCGAAUGUGGUUGUUUCGCUGUGGCGGGACAAAGAAAGGAGCUACGGCUCCGCCUUGGGAUGGGCCCGCGUCCCAUUAGGUAGUUGGUGUGGUAACGGCGCACCAAGCCUGAGAUGGGUAGCCGGCCUGAGAGGGUGAACGGCCACACUGGGACUGAGAUACGGCCCAGACUCCUACGGGAGGCAGCAGCUAAGAAUAUUCCGCAAUGGACGAAAGUCUGACGGAGCGACGCCGCGUGGAUGAGGAAGGCCGAAAGGUUGUAAAAUCCUUUUGCCGUCGAAGAAUAAGCGGGGUAGGGAAUGACCCUGUGAUGACGAUAGGCGGCGAAUAAGCCCCGGCUAAUUACGUGCCAGCAGCCGCGGUAACACGUAAGGGGCGAGCGUUGUUCGGAAUUAUUGGGCGUAAAGGGCGCGUAGGCGGUCAGGCGAGCCUGGCGUGAAAUGGCAGGGCUCAACCCUGUCACGGCGCUGGGAACUGUAUGACUUGAGUCAUGGAGGGGGAGUUGGAAUUCCGCGUGUAGGGGUGAAAUCUGUAGAUAUGCGGAAGAACACCGGUGGCGAAGGCGAACUUCCAGCCAAUGACUGACGCUGAGGCGCGAAA